RNAcentral lists this ribosomal RNA (253 nucleotides) under uncultured bacterium. RNAcentral's name for it is "partial 16S ribosomal RNA". It matches the Rfam family "Bacterial small subunit ribosomal RNA", at positions 524 to 776 of the family's 1533-position model. The record is from RNAcentral.
UACGGAGGGUGCGAGCGUUGUUCGGAAUCACUGGGCGUAAAGCGCGUGUAGGCGGCCCACUAAGUCUGAUGUGAAAGCCCGGGGCUCACCCCCGGAAGUGCAUUGGAAACUGGUGGACUCGAGUCCCGGAGAGGAGAGUGGAAUUCCUGGUGUAGCGGUGAAAUGCGUAGAUAUCGGGAGGAACACCGGUGGCGAAAGCGGCUCACUGGACCGUCUCUGACGCUGAGGUGCGAAAGCUAGGGUAGCAAACGGG